Molecule: ribosomal RNA, 393 nt
Filed under: uncultured bacterium
Lineage: Bacteria
Description: bacterial SSU rRNA
Rfam family: Bacterial small subunit ribosomal RNA
Source: RNAcentral
GUGCCAGCCGCCGCGGUAAUACGUAGGGGGCAAGCGUUGUCCGGAAUUAUUGGGCGUAAAGCGCGCGCAGGCGGCUUCUUAAGUCAGGUGUGAAAGCCCACGGCUCAACCGUGGAGGGCCAUCUGAAACUGGGAAGCUUGAGUGCAGGAGAGGAGAGCGGAAUUCCACGUGUAGCGGUGAAAUGCGUAGAGAUGUGGAGGAACACCCGUGGCGAAGGCGGCUCUCUGGCCUGUAACUGACGCUGAGGCGCGAAAGCGUGGGGAGCAAACAGGAUUAGAUACCCUGGUAGUCCACGCCGUAAACGAUGAGUGCUAGGUGUUGGGGACGUAGGUCCUCAGUGCCGCAGCUAACGUAAUAAGCACUCCGCCUGGGGAGUACGGCCGCAAGGCUGAA